CGCCAAAUUAACUCAUCUCUCGGUAAACAAAAGGCUCAUUUGCAUUUUCGGUGGUUUUAUUCAAGACCCCGUGAUUCGGGAACACAGGUGCGCUGCAGCUGAUUUCUGCACCCCGCGCACAUAAAUAACAGCCCUGGCGUGUCUGUCACACAACAUCCCUGCAAUAAAUUAAGUGUGGUUAUAUUACAUGAUUGAUUUAGAACUCGCCUACAAGAGACGGGAAAUUAUGCUCACGACUAAACUUAUUUCAAGGCGUGAUAUUUUUACAGCUGCAGUAGCGCAGUGCGGCCAGCGGGGGUCUGUGUGAGCUCAGUGGAGCUGCUUUUGGGCAUGACGUCACCUCGUACUCGGAGUGCAGCAGCUUGUGUAACAUCUUAAAAGAACAAUACAGUAAACAAGUCUUAACAGUUGCCAGAAACAGAGCACAUGCCGCAGAUGUGCAUUACAAUAUUCAUUCAGGAGAACAUGCAGGUCAGCGCGGUGGACCAGACAUCCUGAUAAAAUUGGGACAGACCUGAUUUAAUGAACCGUGUCCUGCUUCCCCAGUGGAGUUACUGUUGAAUGCUGUUUGUUCAGGGCUCAACAUUCCUGUGGGUUCAGUCUCGCCUCCAGAUUCCUGGAGAAACUCGCUGCCUUCCUCUUUUCCGGACACACAUCAUUGCUGUUCAGUUGCAAAACUGAAUCACGACUGUCAGCGGACUCGACUCCAUCCCAGUCUCGCCGAGAGCAUUCGACUCCAGACCCCAAUAGCAUUUGAUUUUAAACAUUCGCAUUUAGGCUGGAAAGAAAAGAAUCUCCCGAGGGAUUCAGAAAUGGAGGGAGAGCCAUCAGCUGUCAGGAGGAACUUAAUAAACAAAAUGAAAGGGGCUCAGGGGCAGAAGCAAUAAAGAAAUAAAGUCCUUUACGCCUAGAGACACAAUCAUGUAGCUCAAGAUCAUCUCCUUAAAGGAAUAGGUCACCCCCCAAAUUUAAAUUCAUUAUUUAUUCAACCACGUCGUUCCAAGGGAUUGAUUUCUUUCACUGAACACACAUAAACGUUGCAUUGAUGUUCUGCAUUUCAUUGAGCUUUCGUUUUGUAAAUACGAUUUUAGGCAUUUGCACACAAUAAAAGGGAGCUUGAUCUUUGCUCUGUGGACUAUUGAUGCUGAAACUUCAACAGUUUAACAAUGGGACUUUUAUUGAUAUUUUAGUAGUUUGAAAUAAUAUAAUGUAUAAGACAUAAUACAUAGAAAAAUAAGUCUGUAAAAUAACAGACAACGGCACGCCAGGCUUAUUAUUGAUAUGUACCCCUAUAUAUAAUUAUGAAGACUGUAAAAUACACCCAACCCAAGCUCAUUGUGAAAACGUAGUCCCGCGGACAUUUCUGGAGACCGCGAUUUACGUAGCUGGAGAUACGUAUGGCCACAUUUGUUUUUUUUCAAGCGAACGCUGCAGGGCGGUGUGACGCCGCUCCUCUUCGUGCUCGCCG
This 1468-nucleotide long non-coding RNA is filed under the name Danio rerio (zebrafish). RNAcentral's name for it is "lncRNA (ENSDARG00000117567.1)". The record is from RNAcentral. Lineage: Eukaryota; Metazoa; Chordata; Actinopteri; Cypriniformes; Danionidae.